Molecule: long non-coding RNA, 497 nt
Organism: Alosa alosa (allis shad)
Lineage: Eukaryota; Metazoa; Chordata; Actinopteri; Clupeiformes; Clupeidae
Exons: 3
Source: RefSeq, a predicted model, not a curated record
UGUGUGUGUGUGAGAGAGAGAGAGAGAGAGAGAGAGAGAGAGAGAGAGAGAAUGUGUCUCAGUCUCUGUGUUUCUGUGUUAUUUCAUCUUUUCUGACCAAAGCUGACCACGCCCGCAGUUAGCCACUGACGAGAUGUGUGUGUGUGUCCGGGGCACUGACAAAAUGUGUGUGUGUGUGUGUCCGGGGCACUGACAAAAUGUGUGUGUGUGUGUGUCCGGGGCACUGACGCAGUCCAUCUCAUCACCGCUGACCAUCAAGAUGACCAGCCACUGGGUUGGCUGUGUGUGUGUGUGUGAGUAAGAGAGAGAGAGGGAGAAAUCAGCAGGUUUGUGUAUCAGAGUGUUGUUGGUGUUAUGUAAGUGGCGCACGCCCUCUCUGGCUGUAUCGGUGGUACCAUGAUGUGUGUGUGUGUUUGUCUAAAGUGGGUUAUGCUAGCCUAGCUGUGUACAAAUCUCUUCCUACAAAAUAAAGCUGUGAAGCCCAGUGCAUCUCCACA